Molecule: long non-coding RNA, 430 nt
Filed under: Triticum aestivum (bread wheat)
Lineage: Eukaryota; Viridiplantae; Streptophyta; Magnoliopsida; Poales; Poaceae
Description: long non-coding RNA (TAES_LNC009995)
Source: RNAcentral
UCACACUUGAACGACUACUAAAAUAUAAAACAAAUAUCUCACAUAAAAAAAUUAAUGGUAUUGAACCAAUAUUCUGAAGUAAAAUCUUAACACGAAACAAUCCACUUUUGACAAUCAAAUGAGCUAGCUCUAUUCUGAAGGUGUAGCAUUACAAUUUACGACAUAGUCUCCGGUCACUAACCUGCAGGGGCAGGUUUGUACACAGGUGUGUUAAAAAUAAACCUUUCUAAGAAGAAAAGACAGAGUAAAAGAGCAAAAAGCUUGGCUCAACUCAAUUUCUGACAGGAAGCCGAUAAUCUCCAUCUAUUAUGUUUUCUUGAGUUCCACAUCUCCACCAGUACCCGACAAUCAGAUUCAAAGGAAACAUCAGGCCAUUCUUCCUUGUUUUAAUAGCAAUUUAGUAAUAUAACAGAGGCAACAGAGAUGUCAG